UCAGAUGUAGCUAUCGGAGCAGUUUUAUCACAGGAAAAUAAACCAAUUACUUUCAUAUAUAAAACCUUAUAUGAAGUAAUCGGUCUAGAAAUACAAACAGACCAUCAAAAUUUAUCUUUUACAAUCUCAGAUAAAAACCCGAUCGUAGAAAUGAAAAGAUGGCAUUUUUUAACAGAAAGUUUCACCGCAAAAGUAAUAUAUAAACGCGGAACAACAAAUGUCGUAGCUGACGCGUUACUUCGAAUAAAAAUAAAUAAUAUUAUUAUUAGAACAAUCAAGCUCAGAUCAAAAUACACAGCAUUCUACUGAAAGUAGUUUUGAAAAUGUAAUACAUGAGACCCGUAAACCGUUAAAUCAGUUUCAGCAAGAAGUGUUAUUAACAACGGCGAGUUGACCAAGGACAACGCUGAGAAGAAAUAUUUUGACGAAGGUCAAAAGAAGUUCUUUAUUCGGAUAUCAGCUUAAGACUAAAAAUAAAAUAAAAUAAUUGCUAAAGGACGAUAUAUUGACAUAAAAAUGUAGACUUUAUGCCAAAGAAAUCGAAUUCUGGACCAUAGUGCAACGCCAAAAUUCUGCGCUGACAGCGCUGGAGCGGAUCCACCUGCAUGGUGCAUCACUGUGGAUUUAAUCUUUGCAGAUAAUGCGCUCGUAAUAGCGUUGAGCAAAGCGUUAGAAGCCAGUGCAUCGCAAUGGCUGUCGCAGAUAUGCUUCGCUGGCAUCACAUGGCCCCAGUUUAAGGAACUGGACGUCCAAAACCUGGAGAGAGCUUGGCCCAGAAGAAGUCGCAAUGUCACCUUGUUGCUGUCUAAAUGGAAGGCCAAGAAUUUGGAGGAGCGGUAGCGUUGGCUCACAUGGCACAACUCGAUAAUAAUUUGUUGCGUUGGGUGUUUAGGACUAAUAUGGUGCGCAAUCAGCUUCUGCAACAGGUUCAAGCUUACGCCUUCAAGACACGUAACAACGAAGAUGAUUCUGGCCCAGAAAAGAAGAAGUUAAGAGCGCAGUUGCAGACCAUGUGCCAUUUUUGUGGGAAAGUUGGCCAAUCGGUGUACUGAUUGAAUCUGGUAAAUUUAGUAUUUACAUAUCCAAAAUUAUCAAUGCCGUUCAGAAUAAUGCACCUGAGAACAGUGUGGAAAUAAUUUUUGACAUCAAUACAGAAUUAAGUGAUAAU
This is a long non-coding RNA of Drosophila mauritiana, 1168 nucleotides long. RefSeq lists it as uncharacterized. NCBI's taxonomy places the organism in Eukaryota, Metazoa, Arthropoda, Insecta, Diptera, Drosophilidae. The transcript has 3 exons. The record is from RefSeq and is a predicted model, not a curated record.